RNAcentral lists this ribosomal RNA (464 nucleotides) under uncultured bacterium. Its description in RNAcentral is "bacterial SSU rRNA". It matches the Rfam family "Bacterial small subunit ribosomal RNA", at positions 331 to 792 of the family's 1533-position model. The record is from RNAcentral.
CCAGACUCCUACGGGAGGCAGCAGUGAGGAAUAUUGGUCAAUGGACGAAAGUCUGAACCAGCCAUGCCGCGUGCAGGAAGACGGCUCUAUGAGUUGUAAACUGCUUUUGUACAAGGGUAAACCUGAAUACGUGUAUUCAGCUGAAAGUACUGUACGAAUAAGGAUCGGCUAACUCCGUGCCAGCAGCCGCGGUAAUACGGGGGAUCCAAGCGUUAUCCGGAUUUAUUGGGUUUAAAGGGUGCGUAGGCGGAUUGAUAAGUUAGAGGUGAAAUGUCCGGGCUCAACUCGGGAACUGCCUCUAAUACUGUUGAUCUAGAGAGUGGAUGCGGUAGGCGGAAUGUAUGGUGUAGCGGUGAAAUGCUUAGAUAUCACGAAGAACCCCGAUUGCGAAGGCAGCCUGCCGCAGCGUUACUGACGCUGAAGCUCGAAAGCGCGGGUAUCGAACAGGAUUAGAUACCCGAGUA